This is a long non-coding RNA of Cavia porcellus (domestic guinea pig), 703 nucleotides long. RefSeq lists it as uncharacterized. The record is from RefSeq and is a predicted model, not a curated record. NCBI's taxonomy places the organism in Eukaryota, Metazoa, Chordata, Mammalia, Rodentia, Caviidae. The transcript is spliced from 3 exons.
CAUGAUGUCAGGUACAAGCACAGAGGCCAAUAACCCUCAGGACUGCUGUUUCCCUGCUCAGAACCAGGCUGUCACAGCGCUGACGAAGAGCUGCUGGCCCACAGAUCCCAUGGACACAUGCACGGGGUCUUGGAAAGACCUUCCCACAACACCUCACGUGCAAUGUGACACAGCUUGGGGCGGGCUGCUGUGGCCUCUUCCCUACAUACCUGGAAUGCUUGGCUCUCCAUUCACGCCAACCGACAACCAGGAGAAACAUGAAGUAUAAACAAAGAAGAAAAUAAAAGCCAGCUAAUAGGAAGUCAGGAAUAGAUCUUUUGCAAGUGGGAAGAAGACUAACAGACAGAAGGAGGGAAGAAGAGGAUGUGAGAAAGAAUGAAGAUGCGUUAUGGCCAUGUACCAAUUGCCCAAUCUAAUCUUUAUGUCCUGCAAACAUGUAUCAAUAAAAACAAAGAAAAAAAGUAAAGAGUGCUUCCUGGGUUCAAACUCCAGUAUUCCCAAAAGCAAAAACAAAACACUGGUGCUCACAGAGAAAGCACAGAAGGUAAGCCUAGGCCAGGCUGGCGGGGAUAUAGCCUUAGUUCGCAGGCUCUGCCACCCGCCCCAGGCAGUCCCUGACCCACGGGAGCUUUGAGCAAGGGCUGGAAAUGGGGGCCGAUUUCUGGCUGGUGACAAGGUCAGCAAAAUCCCCAGGAGUUGCAAU